Molecule: ribosomal RNA, 253 nt
Filed under: uncultured bacterium
Lineage: Bacteria
Description: partial 16S ribosomal RNA
Rfam family: Bacterial small subunit ribosomal RNA
Source: RNAcentral
UACGGGGGGGGCAAGCGUUGUUCGGAAUUACUGGGCGUAAAGGGCGCGUAGGCGGUUCGCUAAGUUGAAUGUGAAAACUCUGGGCUUAACCCAGAGCCUGCAUUCAAUACUGGCGGGCUAGAGUUCUGGAGGGGAUAGCGGAAUUCCUGGUGUAGCGGUGAAAUGCGUAGAUAUCUGGAGGAACACCGGUGGCGAAGGCGGCAUCCUGGACCGGCAUUGACGCUGAGGCGCGAAAGCCAGGGGAGCAAACGGG